UUGUUUGCGAUUGAAUUUCAUUUGCUUCCUCUCUCUCUCUUUCUCUCGCGAUCGAAGACCCGAAACGACAACGGUGAGAAUUUGGAAUCGAAGCUUCUGGAGGAAGAGGAGAUUGCUGUCGGAGGAGAUGCAGAACGGAGGCGAAUGAAUGACUCGCCGUGUUUGGGGAAUGAAUGACUCGCCGUGUCCCAUCGUGAUGCUUGAAUCAUCUCGGUGACAUGAAGCAAGGCGGUUUGAAUUUGGGGUCCGCUCAAUCGGAAGAUAUUGAAUCAAUUGGAAUCAGUGGUAAAGCUGGCACAAGUUACAGGUCUUAAUCAGCUUCCUGUUGUAGGAUAGGAUAGAUUCCUUUGUCUAAGCUGAUCGAUGUUCCGUCCAAUUGAGGCUCUUGGACACUUUGUGUUGUGGGCGUUUGAUUGUAUUCUCACAGAUUUGGCAGCUCAAUAAGGUGGUUUGACUAACGUACUACCAACUUUGAUGGAAAAUGCUAAGUAUCAGGGACAGGACAAGCUUCAUUUUACAGUUUGGAUGAUGGCUCAGGCUUCCCAAGGUGAUCUAUCUGUAGGCUUGUAUUCAUGGUGGUGAUGGUUGAUAGAAGAAAGAGAGAUGGUGAGGUUGUGUUAUGGAAUGUUAUGAUUGAUGGUUACAUGAGACUUGGUGAUUGUAAAGUUGUUGUGGUUUUCUGUGAGAUGAAGAAAAGAGAUGGGUUUCAUGAUGUGCUUGGCUCUGCUUUGAUUGAUAUGUACUCGAAAUGUGGGAUUGAGAAAGCGGUUAAGGUGUUUGAGAGAUUACCUCGAGAGAAUGUGAUUACUUGGAGUGCCAUGAUAAACGGGUUUGCUAUACAUGGACACGCAGGUGAUGAUAUUGAGUUUUUUUUUGUAAAAUGAGGCGGGCUGGAGUUCAGCCUAGUGAUGUUGCUUACAUCAAUCUCUUGACUGCUUGUAGCCAGGGUAGGUUAAUAGAAGAAUGAAGGAAGUAUUUUAGUGAAAUGGUGAAUGUGGAUGGGUUAGAGCCUAGGAUUGAACACUAUGUAUGGUUGAUAUAUUGGGUCGUUCUAGUCUUCUUGAUGAGGCUGUGGAGUUCAUGGACAGAGGUUUACCUUGAACAAUAUUUUCAAGGUAAGAGACCCAUAAUUAUAUGCUACCAUUGAAGGAUACAAUUUAAUUAAGAGAUCAAAGGUUUUUAUAA
Molecule: non-coding RNA, 1185 nt
Organism: Camelina sativa (false flax)
Lineage: Eukaryota; Viridiplantae; Streptophyta; Magnoliopsida; Brassicales; Brassicaceae
Source: RefSeq, a predicted model, not a curated record